GGCAACAGCUCAAAUUUGAAAUCUGGCUUCGGCCCGAGUUGUAAUUUGCAGAGGAUGUUUCUGGCGCGGUGCCUUCCGAGUUCCCUGGAACGGGACGCCACAGAGGGUGAGAGCCCCGUAUGGUCGGACACCAAGCCUGUGUGAAACUCCUUCAACGAGUCGAGUAGUUUGGGAAUGCUGCUCUAAAUGGGAGGUAAAUCUCUUCUAAAGCUAAAUACCGGCCAGAGACCGAUAGCGCACAAGUAGAGUGAUCGAAAGAUGAAAAGCACCUUGAAAAGGGGGUUAAAUAGUACGUGAAAUUGUUGAAAGGGAAGCACUUAUGACCAGACUUGGGCCGGGCGGCUCAUCAGGGGUUCUCCCCUGUGCACUCCGCCCGGCACAGGCCAGCAUCGGUUUUCGCGGGGGGAUAAGACCGACGGGAACGUAGCACCCUCCGGGGUGUGUUAUAGCCCGGCGGACGAUACCCUCGCGGGGACCGAGGUCCGCGCUCCGCAAGGAUGCUGGCGUAAUGGUCAUCAGUGACCCGUCUUGAAACACGGACCAAGGAGUCGUCCAUUAGAGCGAGCGUUUGGGUGUAAAACCCGCACGCGUAAUGAAAGUGAACGCAGGUGAGAGCUUCGGCGCAUCAUCGACCGAUCCUGAUGUUCUCGGAAGGAUUUGAGUAAGAGUUUUAACGGACGGACCCGAAAGACAGUGAACUAUGCUUGUAUAGGGUGAAGCCAGAGGAAACUCUGGUGGAGGCUCGCAGCGGUUCUGACGUGCAAAUCGAUCGUCAAAUAUGAGCAUGGGGGCGAAAGACUAAUCGAACU
Molecule: ribosomal RNA, 809 nt
Filed under: Diaporthe ueckeri
Lineage: Eukaryota; Fungi; Ascomycota; Sordariomycetes; Diaporthales; Diaporthaceae
Description: eukaryotic LSU rRNA
Rfam family: Eukaryotic large subunit ribosomal RNA
Source: RNAcentral